Molecule: long non-coding RNA, 1487 nt
Filed under: Sus scrofa (pig)
Lineage: Eukaryota; Metazoa; Chordata; Mammalia; Artiodactyla; Suidae
Description: lncRNA (ENSSSCG00035054346.1)
Source: RNAcentral
CAGUCUUUGUCACUUUUUCCUCCAGGCUACCCUGUCUCUGUGCCCCAGUUCCUGCUCCUUCUCAUCUUGUUUUCGUCCCCCUCUUAUGGGUCCUUUAACAUAUGACAGCAUUUUAUUUAUUGUAUUUGUUAUCUUAUAGUAUGAACUCCACUGGGGCAAGCAUUUUAGCUCGUUUGGUUUAUGAUGUAUCUAAAGUGCAAAGAGCAAUGCCCGGUACAUGACAAACAUUACAUGCAGAUUAUUGAUUGAAAAGAAUUUGCUGAUUUAUUCAACAGGCACAAAUUGAAUAUUUGCUGUGCACUUGGCCUUAUGCUAGGUGCUGAGGUAAAAUGAUGAGGACAGUCAGAUGUGGCUUCUGCUGUCAGGCAGCUUAGAGCCUGAUGGCGAAUCAGAGGCAUUAACCCAAACCCCAGAACAAGCCUGGAGAAGCAGAUAUCAAUGUCUCCUGCUGCCGGACAUGGCUGUGUGGCCCAGUUUUGGACAAUGAGAGGUAAAGAGAGGUCUUUCAAAGGUUUCUGGGAAGGAGAGUCCUCUUCUAGAUAAGGAAUAAGAGUGGAAAUUGUUCUAUACUGCUUCCAGUUUCCUGUCUUUGAGGAUAUGUAACUUAGAGUUCAUGUGAAAUAGCAUCCCUUGCUGCCAUCAGGAAAUACUGAGAACCUCAGCGUCACCAACCCAAGACCUGACACUGCUAAACUUCUGAAUCAAGGCCAAAAACUGCCUCCCUUUUCCAUAAGAAAAUUGAGUCUUUCAUUAAGCCAGUAUUUGGUUAUUUGAUAUAUGCAGUCAAAAGAAUUCCUGACAGAUACGGUAUAAUACCAGGCAUGUUUCCACUCCUGGCUUUAUUUUAAUCUUUAAGGUUUGAGAAAAAAUGCCCGUCACUCCAUUUUCUGGCUCAGGGUAUGGGCUAAGAUGGUAACAUGGCGAAAUUUAUUGUAUUUGUUUUCUCAAUUUCCAUUGCUUCUUCUUGGUGAUAUUAUCCUGAUUUCUCCUCAGGAGGCUGGCCCUCUCUCUUUCUCAGACCUUAGGGCUUAAUGGCAUUGAUCCUACCCUGACAACCCUAAGGUCUGAGACAGAGAGCAUGGCAAAUCAGAGUAUUGUACUCCAGUGACAUUGUGACUGUUUCAGAGGUAGGACCAAGAAACAGAGAGUGAGAUUAGAUCUUGAUGGCAGAAGUCAAGCCCCUUUACUGAGAUAAACCUGAGGCCUUGUCUAAAUCCAGAAAUUAGUAGGUGAGAAAAAUCUAUUCUCUUUGUCAUGUGUAGUUUGAGUUAAAUUCUUGCAAUUCCAGCAACCAAAAGAGGACUGACUUCUAAAAUCCUGCCACUAGAACCACUGCAUUUUCAUCAUCAGUGGCAUCUGUGUUGAAAUGUUCUAACAGAAGCUUGGCACAGAUCAAAAAUGCUAUAAAGGGAAUUCCAGCUCUAAGUAGGAAACUAAAGUAAAUUACUACUAAGGUCUCUUUCAAUUCUCAAAUUAUAUGAUACUAU